Molecule: ribosomal RNA, 253 nt
Filed under: uncultured bacterium
Lineage: Bacteria
Description: partial 16S ribosomal RNA
Rfam family: Bacterial small subunit ribosomal RNA
Source: RNAcentral
UACGAAGGGGGCUAGCGUUGUUCGGAAUUACUGGGCGUAAAGCGUGCACAGGCGGCUUCUCAAGUCAGGGGUGAAAGCCCAGAGCUCAACUCUGGAAUUGCCUUUGAGACUGAGUGGCUUGAGUACGAGAGAGGUGAGUGGAAUUCCCAGUGUAGAGGUGAAAUUCGUAGAUAUUGGGAAGAACACCGGUGGCGAAGGCGGCUCACUGGCUCGUAACUGACGCUCAUGCACGACAGCGUGGGGAUCAAACAGG